This is a non-coding RNA of Schizosaccharomyces pombe (fission yeast), 455 nucleotides long. The record is from the annotation of a GenBank genome assembly. Lineage: Eukaryota; Fungi; Ascomycota; Schizosaccharomycetes; Schizosaccharomycetales; Schizosaccharomycetaceae.
ACAAUGUUAUCUAUCGGUUCUGCUGACGGCGCUAUACCAAAACAUGAAAUGUCAUCGCCUACAAUUGGAAAUAAUACUAGAAGCAUCAAUAAAUGGAUUCGAAGACCACAAAAGCAAAAAAAUAAAAAUAAAAAAAAAUAAAAAAUGCCAAAUAAAGCAAAUUACAUGACUGAGACAUUUAAUCUCCACAGUAAUACGUGGAUGAUAGCAGUAAGUAAUAGUAUUAGAAAGCAAAAGAAAACGACUCAUCAUUUCACCAGUGCAUCUAACAUAGAUGGUAUUAAGGAUCAAAUUUAUUCAGAACAAUUCCUGAAUAUUUUGUAUACUCGUUUAAAUGAAAUGCACAGCGUAGGAAAAAAAACCAUAUCUUGCCGAUUGUGUAAAUCCCAAAAACUUGAGGAUUGAAAUCGUUGCUGUGUUUGAGCAAUUGUAAACCAUAUUGGUAUAAUAACAUG